CAUGCCGGUUUCUACCGAAGAUUCAUCAAAGAUUUUUCCAAAAUUGCCAAACCAUUAAGCAAUCUGCUUAACAAAGGUACGUUGUUACACCCAAACCCGUUAUUUAAUUAACUCUGCCUUUAUAAAAUCUUUUUCGAAAAUACGCAGCGGAAAAAUUGAAAAUCUGAUUAUAAAGCGCUGGUUUGAAUAUCACAAAAUACAAAAUCCUCCGCAUCAACAAGAUGCGUUAUAAGUUAUACAAAACCAAUACUUUUCACAAAGAAUAAUUCUUAUAUGAAAACAUAAGCAAUUACAGAGUAAUUUUCUAAAGGAAUUUAUAUAUAUAUAUAUACAAAACCCCUUUUUUCCCCGUGUCACAAUCAGAGCGGAGCUUCAUCA
RNAcentral lists this long non-coding RNA (378 nucleotides) under Trifolium pratense (red clover). RNAcentral's name for it is "long non-coding RNA (TPRA_LNC007514)". The record is from RNAcentral. Lineage: Eukaryota; Viridiplantae; Streptophyta; Magnoliopsida; Fabales; Fabaceae.